Molecule: long non-coding RNA, 230 nt
Filed under: Elaeis guineensis (African oil palm)
Lineage: Eukaryota; Viridiplantae; Streptophyta; Magnoliopsida; Arecales; Arecaceae
Description: long non-coding RNA (EGUI_LNC035194)
Source: RNAcentral
GAGAAGCGAAAGAAAAAUCGAGCUCCUACUGAACCCAGCAGGCCCCUCACUGAUAAAUGGAUCUCGCCCCGACGAUGGAGUCCGAGAUCGCCUCGACGGUGGAGUCCGAGACCGACGCAUCGUAGGUAUGACUCCUACACUCCUCUCUCUGCUCCUCAUGCACAGAUCCUGAUGGAGAUCGAAGGAGCGAAAUAUCUGCGACGGCCUCCGCCUCUGAAGGCAAAAGGCCU